CAAUAGCGUAUAUUAAAGUUGUUGCGGUUAAAAGCUCGUAGUUGGAUUUCUGUUGAGAACAGCCGGUCCACCUCUUGGGUGAGUAUCUGGUUUGGUCUCGGCAUCCUAUCGUAGAACGUUUCUGCGCUUCAUUGCGUGGUACGCACUGCGAUACUUUUACUUUGAGGAAAUUAGAGUGUUCACGGCAGGCAUUCGCCAUUGAAUAUAUUAGCAUGGAAUAAUAAUAUAGGAUCUUGGUUCUAUUUUGUUGGUUUCUAGAGCUAAGAUAAUGAUUAAUAGGGACAAUUGGGGGCAUUCGUAUUAAUGCGUCAGAGGUGAAAUUCUUGGAUUGCAUUACGACGAACUACUGCGAAAGCAUUUGCCAAGGAUGUUUUCAUUGAUCAAGAACGAAAGUAAGGGGAUCGAAGACGAUCAGAUACCAU
Molecule: ribosomal RNA, 422 nt
Filed under: uncultured eukaryote
Lineage: Eukaryota
Description: bacterial SSU rRNA
Rfam family: Eukaryotic small subunit ribosomal RNA
Source: RNAcentral